RNAcentral lists this ribosomal RNA (422 nucleotides) under uncultured bacterium. RNAcentral's name for it is "bacterial SSU rRNA". It matches the Rfam family "Bacterial small subunit ribosomal RNA", at positions 355 to 774 of the family's 1533-position model. The record is from RNAcentral.
UGAGGAAUAUUGGACAAUUUGCGCAAGCCUGAUCCAGCCAUGCCGCGUGCAGGAAGAAGCAUCUAUGGUGUGUAAACUGCUUUUGUACGGGAAGAAACACUCCUUCGUGAAGGAGCUUGACGGUACCGUAAGAAUAAGGAUCGGCUAACUCCGUGCCAGCAGCCGCGGUAAUACGGAGGAUCCAAGCGUUAUCCGGAAUCAUUGGGUUUAAAGGGUCCGUAGGCGGUUUAGUAAGUCAGUGGUGAAAGCCCAUCGCUCAACGAUGGAACGGCCAUUGAUACUGCUAGACUUGAAUUAUUAGAAAGUAACUAGAAUAUGUAGUGUAGCGGUGAAAUGCAUAGAUAUUACAUGGAAUACCAAAUGCGAAGGCAGGUUACUACUAAUGGAUUGACGCUGAUGGACGAAAACGUGGGGAGCGAGCA